Molecule: long non-coding RNA, 404 nt
Organism: Bradysia coprophila
Lineage: Eukaryota; Metazoa; Arthropoda; Insecta; Diptera; Sciaridae
Source: RefSeq, a predicted model, not a curated record
AGGAAAUAUCACUCCUUUAUCGUAGCAUUUUGUAGAACGAGUAACACUCUUCAUUGUUACAUUUUGUAAAAGGACAUAUCACUCCUUUUUCGAAGCAUUUUGUAGAAUGAGUAAUAGUCUUCAUUGUUACAUAUUGUAAAAGGAAGUAGUACUCCUUCGUUGUUACAUUUUGUAAAAGGAAAUAUCACUCCUUUUUGAAGCAUUUUGUAAAAGGAAAUAUCACUUCUUUACCGUAGCAUUUUGUAGAAUGGAUAAUACUCUUCAUUGUUACAUUUUGUAAAAGGAAAUGUCACUACUUUUUCUGAUGUACUGGGUAGAUUUUGUAAUAGGAGGCAUCAAUCUUUUCCGAAACAUUUUCGUAACGUUAACUAUUUAUCGAUUGAAAUUGAAAACAAAAUAAUUUA